This is a long non-coding RNA of Zalophus californianus (California sea lion), 412 nucleotides long. RefSeq lists it as uncharacterized. The transcript has 3 exons. The record is from RefSeq and is a predicted model, not a curated record. NCBI's taxonomy places the organism in Eukaryota, Metazoa, Chordata, Mammalia, Carnivora, Otariidae.
CGCUCACUUUGGCAGUGGCCAGCACGGCUGUCACACCCGGGCGCCGAGUCCCUCUUGUUCGUGAGGGACGGCCACAUCGUACCUUUCAGGUGAGAAGAUGGUCUUAACUCUGCUCGGUCUGCCGGAGCCUCGGGGGUGUUUCCAGAGCCUUGGUGUCUGAGCAGACGGAGGCCCAGAGAAGGGAUCAGGGAGGAAGGAUCUGAGAGGCUUCUGUCACUCUGUGUCCUCGAGCACUGUCAUCUGACCUGAGAUGGAUGAAUGGGGGGCUCACAAGUCUCAGGCUGAAAUGCGGAAUGAACACAUCUGCCAUAUCAUCUGAGUCCAAAGUUGAAAGGGGCUCUUCACCAAAACCUAGACAAAUAUUUGAAAGCCUGUCUUGGAAAGGAAGAUAAUGUCCAAUUGGUCUCUUUUA